Pelobates cultripes (western spadefoot toad) is the source of this 503-nucleotide non-coding RNA. Lineage: Eukaryota; Metazoa; Chordata; Amphibia; Anura; Pelobatidae. The record is from the annotation of a GenBank genome assembly.
GGCGAAAAUUAAAUUGAAAAAAGUUUUAGACCCGGAUGAGAUUGUCCAAUCAGGAAAUACUGACCAUAUCCCAUAAUUCUCUGUCCAGCAGGGAUUAUGGCAUUGGUUGAUUGGACCUGCUCGAUAAACUGAUAGCACAGUUCCCGGACUCUUGGAAGAGCCUGUAACAAAAAGAACAGUUUGCCUGAAAAGACUUAUGGAUUACAAUGCUGUAACGGCUACCCUGCGGUCGGUCUCCGUUCGUGCAUGAAAACCCCACGAACCCCUUGCCAUCCACAGUAAUCCUGGUGUUCGUCUGAAUCCCCAUGAAUGCUUAAACAAAACUACCGAACGGCCGGUCGUUCGGUAGUUCCAGCACGAACUUACGAGCUCCUGGAGGUCUCAGCGGUGUUCGCCUGUUUGCGUAUCCGUUUUUAGUUCCAUGCGUUCACAGGCAAACACCGCCGUUCGUGCGUAAGAUGGCCGCGAACACGUGUAAAGUCCCGAAAUGGCGGCCAUCUAAC